Molecule: ribosomal RNA, 208 nt
Filed under: uncultured bacterium
Lineage: Bacteria
Description: partial 16S ribosomal RNA
Rfam family: Bacterial small subunit ribosomal RNA
Source: RNAcentral
UACGUAGGCGGUUUAUUAAGUCAGAUGUGAAAGCCCCGGGCUUAACCUGGGAACUGCAUUUGACACUGGUAAACUAGAGUAUGGUAGAGGGGGGUAGAAUUCCUAGUGUAGCGGUGAAAUGCGUAGAUAUUAGGAGGAAUACCAGUGGCGAAGGCGGCCCCCCUGGACCAAUACUGACGCUGAGGUACGAAAGCGUGGGUAGCGAACA